UUUAUGCAAGUGUGGGUCCUAUUUUUACACAUGCUGCAAGCCCACAUUGUUGGAGCGGUGUCCGAAUAUUUUCUCAGGGCAUAGUUGAUGAUGUGGCAAGAUUUUGAGAUACUCGGCACCAAUUUCAUAGUGGAAGGCCUAAUUGCUCGUGUUUAUAACAGUGGUAUACAUAUUCUAGUGGUUUAAUAUCAAUCAUGUCUGAUGUAUACCUUACGCCCAUCAUAUUCUAUAUUUUGAUAAGAUUUGAUUUUAUUUGACUAUGGAUAGAAGAAGGUAAUGAAAGUUUUGAUUUAGUUGAUGUUUUACUAAGAUUUAAUUUGAUUUGGGUAUGUGUAUGGAAAGACAAGGAAAGUUUUGUUUUAGUUAAGGUUUUGACAAGAUUUGAUUUUGACUGAGUUAAUGCAUCAGAUGGUUCUCAUAAUAUAUAUUUUUGAACAUCAGUACAUACACAAGCGCUCAUAUACACACGCAUACACUCACCCCUAUGAACGCACACACGCACAUCCUACCCCUAUGAGCACCUCCGAAAUACUGAGUCGACAUAUCAUCUUGAGAUUUACGAAGUCACCAUAAGCGCCUCGUCGUCGAUGGGAACGUCUCCUCCCAUUGAAUGUGCAUCACCGGAAAUCCUGAAAUAAAUCCAGGAAUGAAUGCGAGCACACCAUGAUUUGAACCCUGGUAGGCUGGGGAUACCACAGUCCCUCUAACCGUCCAACCACAGGUUGGUUUGCGUUCUCAUAAAUUUGGUCCAGUUAAUGUAGCACAUAGUUUCUAGUAAGACAAGAAAAAAAGUAGUUUAGAUCAUUCCAAACCAGAGGAGGGGCGUGGAGAGGAAAAAUAAGGUAGGGUGGACCGAAAAAGAUCAACAGGGAGGGUCGAGCGAAUCGAUCUAGGUUUUGGUGGUGGUGGUGGUGGGUGUGGGGGUGGGGGGAACCAGCAUGAACAGGGUGAUGGGAGUUGAGGAGGACGUACCAACUCUAAUUUAAUAUUGAAGAAAUUUACUAUUAUUAGGUAAACACCCGUGUGUUGCCACGGGGCUCAAUCCGACGCAACAAAUGGUCCACCAAGUCUCGAAGCGCUACGGCCGAUAGGAUGCGAUCGCCAGGGCGACCGCAUUCUCUCGCUAGGGUUAGGGUUUCGGAGCACUAGGGUGGUUGGAUUCUGGCAAAGCUAGGGGCGGUGACGGCAUCUCCCUUGAGUCAGGCCAGUCUACCUGUGUCUCCGCGCUUUGGAGCGGCGCUCAUGGCGGGAGAAGCAGGAGGGAAGGAUGCAGCCACGGCGAACAAACCUACACUGACCCUGUUUGUUGCGGCGGCGGCCACGCCGGCGCGGAAGGGAGCCGGAUCUGCUAGCAGGGAGGCGAACAAGUCUCCCGUAGAGAGCAAAACGCCGGAUGCGGCGGCAAGUCUUUCGGCAAGAUUAGGAGGCAUGGUGCUUAUGGACAAGGAGGAGGAGGGUUUUGUCUUUGAAGAUCCACACCCGCAAGUCCGUAAAGAUCACCGAUGGUCUGUUGUAGGUAAAGUCUGUUCCCCCCGUCAUAUGAAGAUGUCCGUCGUGGAGAAGACGAUGCCUAGGGCUUGGGGUCUACACAAAGAAGCUAAGUUUGCUGAGAUUGGCCCUAAUAUCUUUGAAGUUCACUUUGGUUCUGAGGGUGACUAUAGGCAUGUCAUUCACAAUGACCCGUGGCAGUUCGAUUUCAGCGUGCUGGUGAUUAAGAAGUAUGAGGGAGACAAGAGACCGUCUGAGAUGAUCUUUGAUAAAAUUGAUGUGUGGGUAAGGAUCUCGGACCUGCCACUAGACAAGAGGACUGAAGCCUUUGGGGGGGCGUUGGGAGAUUGGUUAGGGGAGACGGUGAAGGUCGAUGUGGAUAAAUAUGGAGUUGCUAGAGGACAGAGUUUUAGGAUCCGGACUAAGAUCUCUGUGUUUGAACCGUUAAUACGUGGUAUUUACUUGAGGAAGAAGAAGGAUGAUGAGGAGAAGACAUGGUUUGACUUUUACUACGAGAAGAUACCACACUUUUGUUUUUGAUUGCGGCAGACUUGUACACAAGGGGGGUGAGUGCGAACCACCCGUUGACUCGUCGUUACAAUGGGGGGGCUGGCUUCGGGCGUCCCCAGGGACGAAACGGGAGCAAAUAUGGGUCAAGAGCUGGAGGUAUGGACAUCUAUAACAGCUACGGUAGCUCUCACACUGGUGAGACGGCUAACAACAACACCACGCACUUGAGGGUCAGGGAUAUACCUACAAAGAGAAAUCUGCAAAUUGAAUUUUUGCGCACUUCAGACGGUCGCACUGGUGACCGCCCAUUGCAUGCGUGAGGGGAAGUAUCCAGUCCAAACAAAGCUAGAGAGAAGCUCGACAUGACACGUGGGAGGGACCUCAAGGAUAGCCUUGAGGCCAGAAGGGAGACGGAGAUGAGAUGUAAACUCAUGGAGCAGCGUGUUGGGAGUCAAAGGGGUGAUCACAGGGAAGCGGAGCGCGAAGGGCAAACAAAUGAUGGUAGCAGGGGGUAUAGCAGAAACCAUGCCUCGGGGGGCCAUAACAGGCGCCAUGCAGAUCUGGAUCGGGUCGAUCCACUGGGGGGACCCGACAUGCAUGGGAACCGGGAACGACGCAGAGGCUACUACGUGAGGAAGGACAGGUCAGAUUUUCGGGAGAGACAUCGUUCGGAACCAACCUCUUGGAGAGAUGCAAAAAAUAGGAAGAGGAGGCCGAGGCAGGUGUGGAUACCAAAAGGAGAUGCAGAAGGGAGAAGUAGGGAGGAUGAGUUCAUUCGCGAUGCGAGGAGGAAGACUUCCUCGGUGUUUGACCGCAUCCAAGACAGAGAUGAUAAAGCGGCGGACCCUGGAGCCCAGGGCCGCCGAGAGCAAUGAAUCUCCUUGCCUGGAACUGUCGAGGAUUGGGGUUGGACUCGACAGUGGGCGAACUGCGAGACCUCAUUAGGUCUCACAACCCAGCGGUGGUGUUCCUUUCAGAAACAAAAAAAUCAGCUAGAGCAAUGGAAUGGUUGAAAUGGAGUCUGGGAUUCACUAGUGGAGUUGCGGUAAGUUGCAAGGGAAGAAGUGGGGGAUUGGCAUUGUGAUGGAGGGAUCAUGUUCAAGUUACAGUGAGGCCGUGGUGCCAAUACUUUCUAGAUGCUGAGAUUGCUUGGGAGGGUAAACUCUAUAGGAUCACUGGAUUCUAUGGAGAACCCAAAACCGAAUUGGGGAAAAAAUCAUGGGAUGCUAUUCGUUUUCUUCGGGCCCAAGAUAAUCUGCCUUGGCUCUGUGUCGGCGACUUUAACGAGGCCCUCUUCCAUAUUGAUCAAGUGGGGGGUAACCCAAGGUGCCUCAAUCAAAUGGAGGAUUUUCGAGAUUGCCUAGCCGACUGCGGCUUGGCUGAUCUUGGCUUCACUGGCUACCCCUACACAUGGGAUAACAAACGGGAUGGACAGGAUAAUAUUCAGGUUCGGUUGGAUCGUGCCACAUGUAAUGAUGGUUUUUGAGUUUGUUUCUUGAGACUUCAGUAGAGCAUCUGUUAUGUGAAGAAUCGGAUCACCAAGCUCUCCUGGUGCGUAUAUUGGAGACGGCUCCACAGCGCCCGGGGGUGGGGGAUUGGCCGUUCAGAUAUGAGGAGGCUUGGACCAAGCAUGAACACUAUGAGUCCAUGAUAGCGGAGGCUUGGGAAGCGGCGAGCACGGGAUAGGAGGGAGUAACGACAGUAUGGCAGAAACUAGGAAGAAUGGCGGGCUCGAUGCAGAUAUGGGCGCGCGAGGUCUUUGGGUCGAUACGAAGGAAGAUCAAACAGUUGAAAGCAUAAUUGUUGGAAGCAAAGAAACGGGCGCUUAGCUCGGGCUAUCAGCACGAGGUUCAGGAGCUAGAAGAGCAAUUGAGGGAGGUGUAUGGAAGAGAAGAAAUAAUGUACAAACAGCGCUCGAGAGUGGAUUGGCUUAAGGCAGGUGAUCAAAAUACUAAGUAUUUUCAGAACCGGGCAUCGCAUCGUAAAAGGAAGAACACCAUCAAGGCUUUGCGGCGACCGGAUGGUUCUAGGUGUACUGUGGACGAGGAGAUGAGAGUCAUGGCCGCAUCGUUCUAUGAAGAGCUGUUCAAAUCGGAAGGUUCGGUGGGGGUGGAGGGGGUGCUACAAAACAUUCAGUGGGUUGUGACACGGGAGAUGAACACGACAUUGACAACACGGAUUUCAGAUUCUGAAAUAGAGACGGCUCUAUUUCAGAUGGGACCGACUAAAGCCCCGAGGCCGGAUGGGCUCCCCGCGCUCUUUUAUCAGCGACACUGGUCGCUGCUCCGGAAUGAUAUUUGCAGAGGUGUGCGGGAUUUUUUGAGUGGAGUAGCUACACCGGAGGGUUUUAAUGCUACAGUGAUAUUUAUGGUCCCUAAAGUCAACUCACCGGAGCUGUUGUCCCAGUUUAGACCGCUUAGCUUGUGUAAUGUGCUUUAUAAGAAUGCAACAAAGGUGCUGGCCAACAGGUAAAAGAGUAUACUUCCCUUGCUUAUAUCUGAGGAGCAGAGUGCUUUCGUGCCUGGACGCCUUAUCACAUAUAACGUGCUAGUAGCAUAUGAGUGUGUCCAUGCAACUCGCAAUAGGAAGAGGAAGAGACUCUUAUGUGUUGUAAAGCUUGAUAUGAUGAAGGCCUAUGACCGUGUUGAGUGGGUGUUCUUGAAGCAGAUGAGAUGAUCAUGCGUUGUGUGACGACUGCAAGUUUCUCGGUAAAGCUUAAUGGUGCAUGCUCUAGGUGUUUCUUACCCUCCCGAGGUCUCAGACAUGGAGAUCCUCUUUCGCCUUAUUUGUUCUUAUUUUGUGUUGAGGGUUUCUCUGCACUGUUGAGGAAAGCGCAAGCAGAAAAUAGACUCAAAGGAGUGACGUUUGGGAGCACUGGCCCCCGUAUCACACAUCUCCUUUUUGCAGAUGACAACAUUGUGUUCUUGGAUAGAGACGCUAAGGGAGAUUUUAGCCAGCUACGAGCAAGCUUCGGGACAGAAGGUGAACUUGCAAAAAUCCUCGAUUUUCUUUGGCAAAGGCUGUCAGGACAACACUAAGGAAGAGCUCAAAGCGGUGUUGGGGGUGACCUCGGAAGCACUUAGUGAACGGUACCUCGGUCUUCCAACACUGGUUGGUCGAUCAAAAGAGGUCACUUUUCACUAUGUCACGGAGAGCUCAAAAGGAAAAUGCAGCGGUUGGAAGGGUUUGGGCCUUUCCAAGAAGGCAAGGGAGGUACUUAUCAAGUCUGGUCUCCAAGCAGUAACAACUUUCACCAUGAGUUGUUUCCACCUCACAAAGAAAACGUGCCAGAAUCUGAAUUCUAUCUCGUCGAAAUUCUGGUGGGGGGCAAAGGAUGGUGAGAAAAAAGUACAUUGGAUUUCAUAACAAAAGAUGUGCACCUCUAAACGGGAUGGAAGGAUGGGUUUUCGUGACCCGAUAGCGUUUAAUCAGGCUCUACUUGCAAAGCAAGCAUGGCGUGUCCUACAAUGCCCGGAGUCGUUGGUAGCAAGAGUGCUCAAGGCGCGCCACUUCAAAGAGAAAUCCAUAUUGAGCGCAACGUGUCCUGCUACGACUUCAUACACUUAUAUAAGCAUUUUGCAUGGCCGGGAUCUACUUCGAGAAGGCCUGGUUUGGAGAAUUGGAGACGGCUCCAAUGUGAGUAUACAUCACAGUAACUGGAUCCCGAGGAGCGGGUCCAUGAAGCCGUUGGGACAGAUAUAUAUCCCUAGCGUGACUAAGGUGGCCGACCUCCUUUUACCGGAUGGAAGAAGCUGGAAUCACGACCGAGUCAGGGAGAUGUUCACCCCGGACGAUGCAACUGACAUUUUGUAGAUUGUGGUGGGUGACUUGGGUAUUUACGACUACCGAGCGUGGAAUUUCACAAAGAAUGGAAUCUUCUCUGUACGAUCAGCUUAUCACCUGAAAAUGGCCAUGGUUAGAUCGCGCUCCGGACGGCCAGAGUCAUCUAGUUCGGUGGAUAAACACAAGGCGUACAUGGCCCUUUGGGGCACGAACGCACCGGGAAAGGCCAAGAUUCAUCUCUGGAGACUCAUUUCAAAUGGACUGGCAGUCGGAUCAGAACACCAUCGGCGAAGGAUAAAACCUGGGGUCUUCUGCGUUGCUUGUGGACGUGAGGAAACUAUAUUUCAUCGGUUUUGGGUGUGCCCACACUCUGUACUUUUUUGGCAGCUAUUUUGCUCGGAGAAGGGAGAUUUGGUGGCGAUCCCACCAUGCCAGAUGGACUCCCAGAGAGAGGUAGCACGUUGGCUACUGCAGUGGCUAGCGGGAGCAUCCGAUGAAGCAAAGCAGGCGACGGUGCAGGCGCUGUACAGCCUAUGGCUGGCUAGGAACGAGACAAGAGAAGGGAAGAUGAUCAAACAUCCACAUGAAAUAUUGGUUUCGAUUUUGGGGCAGAUAGAGGAGUGGGUGCUGGCACAUCCCGCUACAGGUAAUGCUCCGGCUCCCCUGCAGCAUCAGAAAUGGGAGCCACCGGACGAGGGUUGGACCAAGGUGAACUCCGAUGGCGCAACAUCAAAGAUGGGGGACAAGGCUGGAGGUGGUGCUGUGCUUAAGGAUCAUAUGCGAGCGUGCAGAGCAGGUAUGUGCCACCAUUUCAAGGAGGUAGUCGAUCCCGAGGUGGCUGAGAUCUUGGCAUGUAAGCAGGCUCUUGAGGUAGCAAAAGAAAUCAAUGCGACACUAGUGUAUGUGGAGUUAGACUCUCAAGGAGUCGUGCAGAUGCUGAAGAAACACACAAAGGAGCUUUCGGCGUCCGGGCCACUGGUGGAGGAGAUCAAAUCCUUGUUGCGAUCCUUUGUUGAUUGGGGGCUACUGGUGGAGGAGUGGGUGACGAACUAUGUAAGGUUUGGUUGGGGGCUCCUCCGGACAUCGUUCUUUCUGUUUUGUCGGAUGAGAUUCCGAACAUCGUAAGUUAAUAAAGCGGCAGUAUUUUCCCUCGAAAAAAAAACCCGACGAAAGAUUAUACAGGACAAAUCUUGAUACAAAACAAAUUGACAAAUAAGAUUACGUUUUGGCUAUAAAUCAUAGAGUUUCUGUCAUUGCUUAUAAAUUGACAAAAUGGCUAUGUGUCCAUGAUUUAUCCGUUGAGUUGCCAAAUAUAAAAAGACUGAUUGCUAUUUAGUUGUGAGGUAAAUACACCGAGAAUGCCUAAAUAAAGUAUCUCUACUUUUAUUCUCAUGACUUUGGAACCAUAUGAUUCCCCGACAAUAAAGAAACAUCGUCGUUACCUGACAGAAGCAACGUUUUUUUAAGAUACCCCUCCGUUCAGAAAUACAAGAUGUAGUACUUGUUUUUUCUAAAUAUGUAGACCCGUUUUAGUGUGAUUGUUCACUCAUUUCAGUCCAUAUGUAGUUCAUAUUAAAAUAUCCAAAACAUCUAAUAUUUGUGAGUGGAGGGAGUACAAAUUUCUAUUAAAAUUUUGUUUCACAAUAAAAAACCACUCUUCAAAACAAACGAUCUUGCUACCACAGUUACAACAUAUUACUAUAUCUCAGAAAAUAAAUUUCUGGACUAACAAUUCAACACACAGAUCACAUAUAUAUAAAGUGGCUGCAUGCAUCUCCCAGAUGCAGAGGCCGGGGUUCGUCCUCCUUUUCUAAAAAGAAGAUCACAUAUAUACGCCCCUGUGAAUGAUAUAGGAUAAUUGAUUGUGUUAUUCACAUGGAUGAACCGUAUGGUACAACUAUAGACAUGACAAAUAUGGUGAGGAACAUGUGGAUUUGAAUUGCCGACUUCCAGCAUGACAGAAUAAGGCCAUCAAGAAUCUGGAUUGAUGACUUCCAGGCUCCAACGUCACCAGAAAGGACGCAUUCGUUCUCAAAAAAAGAACGGACGCAUUCUUAUGCCAUUGAGCAUGAAAGGGACUACUGCAAAAAUGCCCUGCAGGAGAAUUUUUUGUUAUAGCCAACAAAAACUGGAAUAAUUUAAAUGCACUACAACGUCAGGCAUCGAGCUCGACCUCAACAGUUCAACUGACCUAAUUUCUUUGGCACAACUCUCCGUGUAACAUUCAGGUCGAGAGAGGCAAACUUUCUAUUGCGACAUGCCAUUGUAGAUGUACCAUUCGACACAAACUAAGCCAAAGGCAUAUACAUCAAGCCAUAUGGUAAGCGAGGCUACUUGUUUGUUCCAUGUUCAUGUCUCAUGCGACAAUUUCUGAUAUUGUAGCUCGUAGCUCUGAAUAUUUAUCUUCUCAAAAAUGAUGCAGCUCCAUGUUAUUUCAACUGUUCAGCUGGGUUGGUUCUUGUUUCUAGGCAUAAUAACCAAGGGAACAUAUGCUAACAAGUCAAUAUCCUAGCGCAGAUGUAGGAUGUUGUGUUCAUCGUUGCUUACUACUAGCAUUUCAAAACGGCCCUUAAUGGAUGAUUUUUAGUGCACUUCUCAACCACAUAAUGAGUAACUAACAAAAAGGUCAAUGGUGCUAGUGGUAUAUUUUUUAACUGAAGAAGAAACACUUUAAAUUUUUUGCUUCUUCUUUUUUUGAGAUAGAAGCACUUUCAGUCUCAGAAACAAAGAUCACACAGCUUUAUAAAAUCAACUUUACAGGAAGUAUUCGUGUAAGGAAACAUUAAUAAGUAUCUAAGUGUUUUCAGUUCAUUUUAUACAAAAGACAAACAACAGCCCUUUUCUUUUGCACUGGAAGAAAAUGCUAGUACUAUGUGAUAAGCUUUAGAAAAUGGAGUACUUACAGCAACUGUGCAGACAAUCAAUCCAGGCUUCUCCCGGUGAUCCAAAGCAACAAAGAAUAGAAGAAAAGCACCAAUAUACCAGGGAAUUGCAGCCAAGAAGAACCCUAGUAAGAACCUUCAAAACAAAACCAACCUAAAGUCUUUAAUAUGGACUGAUUGUGCUUUCAUUUUAAAUUUGCAGGUAAGAACAAUGAACUUAUAGAAACUCCUCAAUAUGAAUAUUAUACCGAUGAUAAAAGAUGUCAGUUUACUAGUAGAUAGCAAAGCAGUAGACAACACACUCAGAAGUAACCAUGCCAGUUUAGGAUAAUCCUCUGCUGAUGCAUCAACUUAUAUCCUAAUCCAAUUCCAGUACCAUUUGAUCGCACCAUAUAUUAUAACUAUGGCCAUGGGCCCUUACCAACCAGACCAAUACCAGUACUAGCACCUCACAAAUUCUCACUAGCAAGCAUAUCUUACAAAUGCUGCUCGCCGAACUUGUUAAUGAAACAGUUAGUCGUGCAAUCCCCCAUUCACAUACCAAGUACUCAUACAGUCAUACUGAACCAAUUGCUCAUACUGUUACCUACUUCAAGAGCUUCUUAACUUUGCCACACCGGUAGCAUUGGAGACAAACACCACCAAAAGGAGGAAGGACACUUACAAAGCCCAGCCGACGCCGACGCCGCAGAACGGCAGCCGCGGCUCCCGGACUGGGAGGCCCUCCACGAAGACCUGCUGCUGGAUAGUGCACGGGAAAGCAACAACGCCCUGAGCACUGCGUCCUGCGCGCCAAGACACAUACGCACACACACACAGGGAGUCAUUUCAGUCUCCACAGAGAAGGGCCGGAGCUGGAGGGUAGUGCGAGAGAAGGAGCGCUGACCUUUCAGGGAGGGGUCGUAGGCGACUGCAGCGACGGGCGGCGGCGGAGCAGGAGGGGAGAAGGUGCCGUAGUGGUGGUGGUAGUAUGGGGGAGGGCUGGUGCCGGCGAAGGGGGAGGCGGAGGGGAGCUUGGAGGUGGGGUCCCUGGUCUGUUGCAUCGCCAUGGACGAACGAAUUUCGAGAGAUCUCGAGGCGUGGUGGUGUGCGCUGUGUACUUCUGGAAGGGGAGGAAAAUGUCGCCGGUUUUGGGAAAGAAUAUAGACGGUGGAGGAAGCGCGUCCGUCUAUCGUGCGAGAGGUGGACUGAAUAUAAUGGUUUGUUUUAGAUGGGUGGAUUAAAAAACAUCUUGGUCUUUUUUAUCCGAAUUCCAAGGAUUUACGAAAAUUUAGAGGAUUUUUUAGGGAAAAACAUUCUUUUAUUUUUGAGGGAGGGAAACACAUUCAUUAAUUAAAUCAGGUUCGGAAUGUCAUUGGCUACAAGAUCCAGAAUGAAAUCUGGAGGUACCUCACACACACAUGGGAUCUUUCAUCUCCUACACCAACCCUAACUAGCUUGUGAGCAGCCUCGUUCGCUGAACGCCGAGUCCACACGACCCUGUAGUCCAUAAACUCUCUCGACAAAUUCUUUAUUUCCUGCACCCAAGGGCCAGACGACGCCAAGUUCUUCUCCAGGCAGUUGAUCAUCCUCACAACACUUUGGCAAUCCAGUUCAACACAAAUCCGCUGCACAUGCUGCUCUCGAGCCAACUGAAGAAGCUUCAGGCAGGCCAUGAUUUCGGCACUUUCCGGGUCGUCACAAUGAGGGAGGAAAUGUCAGGCCGCCGUCACAAAGCCCCCAACAUGAUCAGCAAAGAUUUAUCCUCCACCCCUUUAUCUCUUUGUUUGGCUACCGCCCCAUCCGCAUUCCUUUAAUCCAGCCUUCCUCUGGCACCUCCCACCGCUACACCAUCUUGGCAACCGUCGACCUCUCCGGCACAGCAUGAGCUUCCCUCCAUUGACGCAUGGAGGAUGACACCCGAGGAGGACCUCUGGAGGGGAAACCAUCCUCUUACCAUCCCGCGCUUCAUUCCUGGCGAGCCACAGCCCAUAUGUGGCAUGAAUCAUAGCUUCUUUCUCAUCGCCCUUCGCCGAAGCAAACCAAUCCAGCAGCCAGUCAACCAACUCUCUCUAGGAAUCCAUCUGGCAAGGUGGUAGCGCUAUCCCCACGCCAUGUUUUGAUCGCAUCAUCUUCCAAAAGUGGGCAGAAUGUUGGCAUCCCCAAAACCUAUGGAAGACCGUCUCUUCUCUUCCGCAAACUGUGCAAAAAACACCCGGCUUGAUUCGUCGCCUAUGGAGCUCAGACCCAACAAACCAAACCGUUUCGAACCAGGCGCCACACAUGGAUCUUUGCCUUGCCCGGGGCGUCUGAAUCCCAAAGGGUCAGAUAUCCCUUGUGCUCCGCCACCGAAUUAGAUGCCUCUGGCCAUCCAGAACGCAUCCGCUUCAUCGACAUCUUAAGGUGAUAGGCAGAUUUAACCGAUAGCACCCCGUUUCGUGUGAAACUCCAAGCAAGAUAGUCCUCGGUUCCCAGCCCACCGACCGCUAUCUGCUUGAUAUCAUAUGCAUUGUCAGCUCAGAACAUGGAGUCCACCUUUGUUUCAUCCCAAGUCGUACCAUCCCGCGACAAAAGAUCAACCACCUUUGUUACCCUCGUGACAAAGGUCUGGCCCGGUGGCCUCAUACACCCUGUCCGCGGAAUCCAAUUACCGUGGUGGAUAUUAACCGAAGAACCAUCACCAAUCCGCCAAAUGGACCCCUCUCGCAGCAGCUCUCUUCCAUGGAUGAUACUUCUGGAAGUGAAAGAACCAGCUGCGGGACACACCGCAUUCAUAAUGGAGCAGUCCGGGUAGUAGCAAGCCUUUAACACGCGAGCACACAAGGACGAUGACUGCUCUAGGGGGUGAGGGAGUCCUGGACUAAGGGGUCCUCGGGCGUCCGGGCUAUGUGAUAUGGGCCGGACUGAUGGACCGUGAAGAUACAAGAUAGAAGACUUUUUUCCGUGUCCGGAUGAGACUCUCCUUUGCGUGGAUGGCAAGCUUGUCAUGCGGAUCGUAUGACUUCCUUUCUCUGUAACCGACUCUGUACAACCCUGGAUCCCUUCGGUGUUUAUAUAAACCGGAGGGUUUAGUCCAUAGGCCCGAUCACAACCAUACAGGCUAGACAUCUAGGGUUUAGCCAUUAGGAUCUCGAGGUAGAUCAAUCUUGUAACCCCUAUACUCAUUAUAGUCAAUCAAGCAGGAAGUAGGGUAUUACCUUCAUUAAGAGGGUCCGAACCUGGGUAAACAUCAUGUCCCCUACCUCCUUGUUACCUUCGAUCCUUAUAUGCACAGUUCAGGACCCCCUAUCCGAGAUCUGCCGGUUUUGACACCGACAGGAGGCGCCACGCUUGCUUGGCCAACAAGGCUUGACUGAACGCCUCGAGGUCCCUAAAGCCAAGUCCUCCUUCCUUCCUAGCCUCACACAUCUUGUCCCAAGAUAUCCAAUGCACCUUCCUCUCACCAUUUGUUGCUCCCACCAGAAUUUCGACGAGAUUGAUUUCAGAGGCUCUAAGCGAAAAAUAUUUGGGCCUACCCACACGGGUGGGGAGGUCCAAGGACGACGCUUUUAGGCAUGUCUUGGAGAGCUCAAAGGGUAAAGUUGGAGGAUGGAAGGGGCAGGGUCUAUCUAAGAAGGCCCGGGAAGUUCUAGUGAAAUCAUCGCUUCAAGCUACACCGACCCACACUAUGAGUUGCUUCCAACUCACUAAGAAAAUGUGCAGGAACCUGAAAAUUUAGACGAUCUGAUCCGUAGAAAUACGGAAAUGCUUGCACUCAGCCGGCUGAAAGUACGUCGCACGUCGACUGCCUCGUUUGCUUGGCGCGUGCCCAUGGACCCCACUUUCUAAAAACACGAGUCUUCUCAUGUCCGCUUGUUCGUCCCAAUAUUUCACACUCCUAUCCUCUUCUUCUAAGCAAAUGUCACUCCACCGCACCUCAGAUACGCUACUGCGAGCGAAGGGGGACGCGGUACGGGGAACUGUCGUCGCCCGCCAAAGCUCUCAUCAGCAGAAGCCUGUGUGACGCUUCAAGGCGAUGGCCUCAUGGAUGCAAUGGACAUUGCGACGCCGCUACAAAAGGGGUUUUCGUCGUGGCAUAGUGCUACAAGCCUGCCGGGGUGCUGUGUGCCGGCCACCCAGGUGCUGGAUGCCGACAAUAAUGUUGCGACUAUCAGUAGGAACAUGCAUGUUGGGCGCACUAGUUUGCAGCAUGGCCAUUGUUGCAGAAACAUCAUCGGUUGUGGAGGCGCUAAUGAUGCGGGCCGCUGGGCUGCAACGUCGCUCAUGUUUCUGAAACAUCAUCGGUGUUGCAGACCGGCCAUGUUGGCGGCCGUUGUGAAAUGAGGGACGCUUUGGAACAUUGCCCAUAUUUUGGAAACAUCAUUGGUGUUGCGGACAUUCCAUGGGGGUUGAUCUGACGGUGGGAAAACAUCGCCCAAGAUAUUCUAAGUGGGGUCUGUCUAGGACACAUCUAGAUGUGAUAUAGUUAUGUCACAUCUAAACUGAUCUCCACUCUGUUUAUGGUCUAUUUUUUUGGUCCUUGUUUUUUUUAUUUCUUGUUGCUGCAUUAUCUAUUUAUGGGAGCUUAGACGUGACAUCCUUAAAAAAUAUCUAAAUGUGAAUUAGACUAACUGUUCUAAGUGUGUUGUUUGAUUCAUAUAUAUCGCAACUUAUAGGAUAUAUUUUUUCUUAGGAUUCUUUUCCAUCAGAAAUCAUAGGAAUUGUUUCGUCAACUCCAACCUCAUGCGUGGAACUGAAUCAUAUAUAUCGUGCAAUCAUGUGGUGGUAUUCAAGAUGACACAACACUCUAUUCAUGUGUCUUCUCUCCUAAGCAUGACAGAGAGAAGGUAAAUAGGAAGUAGAGUAGUCGCGCUGAGCACUCCCCAAAUAUCAUCUUCACAUAUGAACUGUCCCGACUUGCGGUGCACGCCGUAAGCCGGGAUGGGGAAGAUCGAGGCGGGCGGCGGAGGAGGAGCGCGCGUGGAUGUCCAUCUUGUUCUCAUCCUCAUACAUGUGGGGAAAAAACCUCCCUUAUAAAGAGGUCCAACUCCCUCUAAACUAGCAAUGUGGAACUAAACUUUAGCUCCACCUCUUGCCUUGCACGAAUGGGCUGCGUGGGCCUCUAGGAUUUAUUAGGAAUUUCUGAAACUACUAUUAGGCUAGGCCCAAAAUAGACAAAAUUCCAGCACGUGCAACCGAUUUCCAACCAUGUGGCCGAGCAUUGAAUGAACAGUUUUGCUAGAACUCAUCUAGAUGAGAUGUAAUUUGGUCUCAUUCACCUUUUAUAGUCAUUAGAUGUGAUGCUAUAGAUGCGUGUGUGCUGACGUGGGUUGUAUCUGUUCUUAUUUUCAAAAUGAACGAGACCAAAUUAUAUCUCAUCUAGAUGAGUUCUAGGUACUCCCUUUUUUUUAGCAUCAGUACAGACACAAGCGCUCAUAUACACGCGCAUACACUCAUCCCUAUGAACGCACACACGCACACCCUACCCCUAUGAGCACCUCCGAGAGACUGAACCGGCAUAUCAUCUUGAGAUUUACGAAGUCACCGUAGGCGCCUCAUCGUCGACGGGAACGUCUUCUCCCACUGAAAGCGCAUCGCCGGAAAUCCUGAAAUAAAUCCAGGAAUAAUGCGAGCACAGAAUUUGAACCCUGGUGGGUUGGGGAAACCACUGUCCACCUAACCAACUCAACGUUGAUUCGCAGUUCUAGGUACUCCCUUGAAUGAAUCUGAUGGGAUGUCGUGGGUUCUCUUUGGAUAAACCAACACGGUAGGUUUUAUAGGGCAAGAAGUUCCACGGAUAAAACAUGGUAGGUUUUAUACUUCUGAAUAUCCAUUGAUGAACCGCGACUUACAAGUUAGAACAACACACUUCACUGACGCCGUAUUAGGCACAUCGCUACUAAUCCCUAUCUAAUUAGGCUCAAGAACUCAUUUCUGUUUAACAGAAGCAAACAUAUCCUUGAGGAGGCGACUUGGAGCAUCAGCUCCGGUGACAAUCUCGACGACCUUGUAGGAAGACUCCUCCGGGCAUAACAAUGCUUCCACAGCCACUUCUGCAACCUGGUCUCUCGAUAUGGAGCCCUCGUAGAGAGUGUCCUGCAAAUAAUCCACAAAUGAACAUCGUAUGUUUUGGCUGUAUGAGCAACAAUCUCUCGCUCAAAAAAAAAAAAAUCUCUCGAAUAACAAGGUUCAUGGAGAAGUGUGCGUGCUAUUGCUUACCUCUGGCUCCAUGACAAUGUUCCCAGUUGGCGGUUGUUCUGUGAGCCCUCCAGGCCUCACAAUCGUGUAAUUUAUUCCUGACCCCCUGAUGUAUUUCUCCGCCUGCAGCUUCGCAACGAGCACUAAGCCGAACAGAUUGAGCACGAUGUAGGCUGGAUUCAGAAGUUGACCCAUCGCGGCCCCAUUCACUAAAAUGGAGCUCACGAGUAUGAAUCUUGUAACGCCAGCCUUUCGGCAUGCUUCCACAAGAUUCACCGUCCCCAGGUUGUCCACCUGCAGUGGCAUAAUUUUCAGCUAGCUAUCACUUGCAGGAGCAAAGCUUAACUCUUUUUACACGGGCAAGAGCGUGUCAAUCAGAAGUUCAGAACCAUUCAGGCAAGAAACUGAACUCCUACUUCGGUUGCAGUUGCGGACAAACCUUCCAGGGAGCAAAGGGGUCAAAGGACCGCCGGAAGCCCGUCGCGCAGACGACGGCGUCGACGCCGCGCACGGCCUCGACCAGCUUGUCGGCGCCCUCCGUCACGUCGGCCCUCACCUGCAAUUCAGGAUUCAGCCGACACGCGUCUCACGGCAUGGCUACUGGCAGAAGAGUAGGAAUGCGACUGUACUGAAGUAGAGAUGAACUAACGAGCUGGAGGUUGGGGUCCUGGGGCAGGCUGCCGCGGGCCCUGCCCACGUCCGUCGUGCCGGCGACGACGCCGAAGCCCCUCUCCAGCAGCUUCGCCACGACGCGCUUGCCGGUUUUCCCCGUCGAGCCGGCCACGAAGACGGUGGUCGUCUUCUUGGCGCCCGGAGCGCUCGCCGAUGCCUCGUCCAUACUCAAGGCGGCCGGGCGGGUGACGUGGAGCUUUCGCGUGGUCGGGGAGAGGCAGGCGAGCACGAGAGGCAGGCGGGGGCGGGCGGUGGUGGCGUGGAAAACACCGGCCAUGGGUUAUGUGUGGCCUGUGGGUCUGUUCGUUUGAGAUGUCUCUAGUAUCCUCUUGCUUGUUCGUUUGUGUACUACUAGUACACUUUGUUGGAGACAUUUACUAGGGUUCUGUAAUGACUAUCAUCAUGUCAACGUAACCUUGUUUGGAUGAAAUUAGACUAAAGCACCCUUUAACUGUAAGUCAAGAAGAUAUGAAAAAAGGAAGUGUAGAUGCAGUGUAUGUUUAAAAUUUUAAAUGCAGAAUUAUUUCAAAAAUAAACAAAUCCAUAGAUAUUUUUGUUGAAAUUUGACCAAACAAUUAAACUUGUUUGAAAUUCAGCUGGAAAAUAAGAGAUACGGGUGGAUGAAGUGAAACUGGGUGGUUGAGAAAAACAUUCCCAAUAACAAAGUGAUAAUCUCUUAAAGCGAUAAAGUUUUGUCAGUAUAGUUAAAUAUUGAUCAAGGUGUGAGGACCCGCCUAUUUGUUGGAUCGACUGAAAUUUUGUAUUUCUAAGUCCUUGAUUUAAGCACAUAUCUUUUUUUUAGAAAAGGAGGAUGACCUCCUGCCUCUGCAUCUGGAAGAUGCAUGCGGUCAUUUUAUUGAUUAUUCUCGAGGAUCUUAUAAAGUAGUACAACAAUAUGCCUGAAUUCACCAUCUUGGCAACAUCUGCCGCUACUCCAAUCCAUAUGAUAAAGGGGUGCAAGCUGGGCCAAAUACCCAGACCUCUCACCUAGCCUAACAUGUAAAGCCGGAGGCCCCGACCGAGCCACAUACCGGGUCCGGUGCACAAACCGGUCCGACGCACUCACAUGUGUCGUCGCCGCCAUCUUCCACUGGUCCAUCUUCAGAGCAGAUUGAGGUGCCAACCUUGGCAGGUGCCUCCGCCAUCGACGUCACGAUGACGCCAAACGACGACCUCCACCUACGCUAGUCCAUCUCCAAGCAACGGACGCAGAUCCAUGCUAGGAUAGGACCGCACCACCGCCGUCGCCCACCACCCACAAGCGUCACCCAGCUCCAAGGUUCCCAAACCGGCCCUUCAAGAAGGGAACGGCGCCAUGAGCGCCGUCGCCGCCCAACAAAGUUAGGGCUUUCGCCCGGGAGACCUAGGGGAAGGGAAAGUGAGGGGAUCAGUCCAUACCGACGCCUCCAAGGAGGGGAACGACGCCCUCAGACGUCGCCGUCGACGCGGCCGGCCAUGGCCGACCAGGGGCUUCUCCCAAACUAGAUCCCCGCCACCAGUAGAGCCUCCUGUACAGAACCGGCGAAGCGCGACCCGGCGAGGCUGGCUCGCACGCCGAACAGGGGAGGAGGGGAGGCGCCAGAUCGCGCACACUGGCCACCGCAGAAACCGCCGCCGGCCGCCAAUGACCACCGGAUCCCGCCGCCCGCGCGGCCGGGACGCCAGAUCCACCACCCGCACGGCUGCUAGCUGGCCGUGCCUUGCCAAUGGAGCCACCGGUCCAGAUCCGGGGUUCCCCACGUAGAUGCAGGGCAACCGAUGCCCCGCCGCCACUAUCCUUGGCGCCACGGGCUUACCCGAUGGCUGCCUCAAGCGGCGGCGAGGAAGGGAAGAGGAGGAGGGGCAGCUAGGGAGGAGGAGGGAGGAGGGGCGACUAGGGUUGGGAGGGAGGAGGAGGAGGUGCGGCUGCCUGUCUGUCCCUUUAAGCACAUAUCUUCAUUCAACAAUGGGAGGCAAGACCUCUGCCUUCUCCGAUGCAACAUACUCCCUCUAUAACUAAAGCCAUGACAAGUAUUUUAAAAUAGAGGAAGUACUAAAUUGUCAAGUCUAGAUGGUUUCCCUGCUAAGUGUUUUAUUACUUCCAUGAGGUUGUGUUAUCUCUUCAUAGUGUAAAUUAUGUGGGUAAUAGCUAUUAUUGGCCAUAAAGUCAAAUGUUUUUUUUAGUAUUUUGGUUUUGGUGACGUGUUGGAUUUCUCAGGCGUGUUUCAUCUCUCGGAGAACUUAAUCAUUAUUGUCACCAAGUUUUGUAAAAUUAAGAAAGAAAUGGUGGUCAAAUUUUGGUAUAUUAGUGGAGGUGUCACUCAGUAUUAUCUCGAAUAAAAAAAGUGAAUAACAUGGAAGUUGAUUUUCUUUCCUUUUUGAUCAUUUUGGUCAGAGGUUGUAUGCAAGACAAUGAAACAUACAACCGAUUUAUUGAACUAGUGUCAUAGGGCAAAAGGCUGAGCACUAAGCGCCCAAUGAUACGUCGUACCUCAUGGGGACAAGUGUGACAUUGACCCAAUAUUCAUGUACAAGAUCCAUUUCUUGUGAAAAGGCAUGUGAGAUAUGAAAGGUUGGAGUUGCAUAUGCAACUAUCAAUAUGAUUUUAGUUGACAGGUUUUAGAGUUUAAGCUACAAUUUCCAAGAACACCAUGAAGCAUGCAAGUUAUAAGAAACGUAACAUGAAGGCAAAACUUCCAAUAAGUAAACUAGGAAGAAAAAGGGAUCACAUGCAUUGAGAUGUUUCCCAUGGUUUGGAUUAUUGGUCUAAUCCUAUGCUAUUGUUGGUGGAUGUUUGGAUACAAAGCCCUAAGACCAUAAAGGUCUUGGCUUUCCAACCACCAAGGUAUAAGACCACCUAUCCCACCAUGGCCUACCACCAAGGUGGGUCCUAACUUGAGGUCGAUAUUCACACCAAGUAGUCGAUUUAUGGCCUUAUACAAACUUCUUAGCUCCUACACAAGUGAUCUGAAUCAUCUAGGAGGCACACACACACACACCUUCCAGUAGUACUUUGCUAGGAUGAGCUCCCCGUAAGAUGAACAAACUAUGCUUAAGAACCCAUAAAUCUCUCUGUUAUCUCUCAAGGAUCAAAGGGAUAGGAUAGGGGAAAUAGAGGUGAAUGACAACGCAAAAGGGCUCUCUCAACAAUAUGUUCAACCUUCUAAAGUUUGUUACCCAACUCAACGGAUAGGAGUGUAAAAUCCUACACAUAUAACCACUAUGGUCUACAGAUCUGGAUGUAUUUUUUUAUUAUUUCUAGUAUUCAUUGUACUGUCAUGAUUGAAGAUGAAUAGAUCGGAAGUUUUCUCACAAAAAGGUCUAAGCCCACCUAUCCAACCAAGGUUGAGACCUCAAUCAGGUAAACCUUUGCACGAAGUAGGUGGUCUCUGGCCUUACAAACUUCAUGGAUCCUCCAUGACUCCAAAGCGUCCAGUAAUGGUUGAUGCAAUUCAAACCUCUAGUUUCACUUUUCCAAACAUCCAGAUCUUGGCACAUGAAACAAAGUAAGCCAGUCACAUUAAAACAUAAAAAAAUUACAUGCCAAGGCAACAAAAAAUGUUGAGAGAAAAUUAACCAGUUUAAGAUCUGAAUAAAUUCAGCAAUGAAUCAAAUUAAAAUACAACGAAAAUUACAAUACGUCCGACUAGAUGGUCUAGAGUUAAAUGUAAGUUAUAUACUACACCAUUCCUCUGAGUAGAAGUGGCAUUAGCUGCACAUAGAUAGAUAGAUAGAUAGAUAUAGAGAUAGAUAGAUAGGUAGGUAGGUAGAGAGAGAGAGAGAUAGAGAGAGAGAGAUGCUUCUUGCACCAUACCUAAGUACAAUUUUUUGGGGAAACGUUGCAUGGGAAACAAAAAAAAAUCUGCGCACACGCAAGAUCUAUCCAUAGAGAUGCAUAGCAACGAGAGGGGGAGAUCAUCUUCAUACCCUUGAAGAUCGCUAAGUGGAAGCGUUUAUCAACGCGGUUGAUGUAGUCGUACACCUUCACGAUCCGUCCGAUCAAGUACUGAAUGUACGACACCUCUGCGUUCAACACACGUUCAGCUCAAUGACGUCCUCACCUUCUUGAUCCAGCAAGACAUGACAAGUAGUAGAUGAGUUCCGGUAGCAUGACGGCAUGGUGACGGUGUUGGUGAAGAACAAUCUCCGCAGGGCUUCGCCUAAGCACUACGGAAACUAUGACGAAGGACAAACUAGAGGGGACGGGGUUGCCGGCACACGGCUUGGUGAAUCUUGGGUGCUAGCCCUGCCCCUCUAUUUAUUUGUUGAGCUCUGGAGUCGAAACUUGGUGUAAAAGCCUCCUCAAAGUCGGUUUUGCCCGAAAGGCAAGAGUCCUUCUCGGACUCUAGGGCUAGACGCCAGGGUUCCCGACGUCUACCCCCUAGCUUCUGGUCUCCGCAAAACUCCCUUUUGCACUUUCCAAAAACCUCGUGGGCUUUCCCCUUUGGCCCAAAUAAAGUGUUCUCGUACCCAAACAUUUCGGGAAACAUCUGGAAUCCCUUCCGCUAAAUUCUGGAACCCUUCCGGAGAUCAAACACUACUAUCCCAUACAGGGCCGGUCCUGAGAUUUUGGGGGUCCGGGGCCAAACUAGAACAUGGGCCCCAUAGUAUAAACACUUGAAAUAACGAAGCAUUAUUGUGUCAAGAAAUAAUGAAGAAAAGCAACGAACAUUAAGUUUCAUACAAAACUCUACCCAUCUAUCACAUUUUCCCCACAAAAUGUGUGAACCUGUGCAAUCCCUAACUAGUGCACUACUUAUGAGGUAUAAACAAAAGCUAGUAGUUUCAACAGAAUGAAUCGAAAUGCAUGUUAAGAACCAUAUUUAUUUAUUAAUCAAGAAGAACUAGCCAAGUGCAGGCCUCACCUGCAGGUAUAUAAAAAUCGCCCUGAAAUUUUUUAAAAUUUAGGAUGCUAGAAAACUUUAACAUCCAGCAAAAAUCUCGGCAAUCAACAACAAUCUAUAGGGUCAUAUGUGAGUUUAAGAUGAUGGAUUCUAAGAAAAAUGUGGCAAACCUGUUGGGCAAUUCAAGCUUAACAUGUUACCUGGCGAAUCAUGUUAAUCUCUUCUUCUAAAUGGUCAGUACUAGCAAGUCUUCUGCGUUUAUUUUUCUGAACAUAGUCUUCUGUGUUUAGAAAGUCUUCUUUCUAUCCACAUCGUGAGGUGCACAUCGCUGUAACAAACUAAUAUUAAAUUCGAUACUGACACAACAAACUAAGGAAGAGGUUACCUUAUCUAACAAUAAACAGGCAAAUUCCCCACGGCACAGACUACGGAAAAAUUGCCGCCGCCUGUUGACGACUUACAAGGGGCGUCUUUGACUGAAGUUAUAGCUUGAGCGAUGACCCUGCCGCUUAUGUUGCUAUUCCCGUCGGAUGCUACGGCCUUAAGACGAAGGCGCCGAGCCGUCGAGACGAACUGGCGAAGGGCAAUUAGGGCAUGAGAUCGGGAGAGAAGCAAACGCCGUGCCUGCGUAUUCCUUUUUUUCUUCGUGUAGGCUCACAUCUCACGGAGACCGCUCCAAGUCGAGAGUACGGGCCAGUAUGAGCCAGAGGAUAAUAACACCAGUACAAAGGCUGACGUGACAUACCGGCCGGGGCCCCCCUCACGAUCUGGGGGCCAGUGCGGCCACCCCGUUCGCCCUGCUCCAGGGCCGGGCCUGAUCCCAUAUAUCAAUCUUUACCUCCGGACCAUUCCGGAGCUCUUCGUCAUGUCCGAGAUCUCAUCCGAAACCCCGAACAACAUUCGGUCACCAACAUACAUAACUCAUAUAUACUAUAUCGUCAACAAACGUUAAGCGUGCGGACCCUAUGGGUUCGAGAACUAUGCAGACAUGACCGAGACACCUCUCUAGUCAAUAACUAAUAGCAGAACCUGGAUGCUCAUAUUGGUAUCUACAUAUUCUAUGAAGAUCUUUAUCGCUCGAACCGUUAUGACAACAUACGCAAUUCCCUUUGUCUAUCGGUAUGUUACUUGUCCGAGAUUCAAUCGUCGGUAUCUCUAUACCUUGUUCAAUCUUGUUACCGGCAAGUCUCUUUACUCAUUUUAUAACACAUCAUCUCGUGACUAACUCCUCAGUCUUUUGCUUGCAAGCUUAUGAUGUGUAUUACCGAGAGGGCCCAGAGAUACCUCUCAGAUACUCGAAGUGACAAAUCCUAAUCUCGAUGUAUGUCAGCUCAACAAACACCUUCGGAGAUACCUAUAGAGCAUCUUUAUAAUCACCCAGUUACAUUGUGACAUUUUAUAGCACACAAGGCAUUCCUCCGGUAUCCGGGAGUUGCACAAUCUCAUAGUCGAAGGAAUAUGUAUUUGACAUGAAGAGAGCAAUAGCAAUAAAACCCAACAAUCAUUAUGCUAAGCUAAGGAGUGGGUCUUGUCCAUCACAUCAUUCUCCUAAUGAUGUGAUCCCGUUAUCAAAUGACAACUCAUGUCCAUGGUUAUGAAACCUUAACCAUCUUUGAUCAACGAGCUAGUCUAGUAGAGGCUCACUAGGGACACAUUGUUUUUAUGUAUUCACACAUGUAUUAAGGUUUCUAAUCAAUACAAUUCUAGCAUGAAUAAUAAACCUUUAUUAUGAAUAAGGAAAUAUAAAAUAACAACUUUAUUAUUGCUUUGAGUCUGACUCAACUUCACACCUUGUAACACAGGCAAGAACCUUUUCUUUGACUGAUCCAUUUUGAACUUAUUGAAAACUUUCUCAAGGUAUGUGCUUUGUGAAAGUCCUAUUUAAGCGUCUUGAUCUAUCUAUAUAGAUCUUGAUGCCCAAUAUAUAAGCAGCUUCACUGAUGUCUUCCAUUAAAAAACUCAUAUUCAGGUAUCUUUUUAUGCUAUCCAUAAAUUCUAUAUCAUUUCCAAUCAACAAUAUGUCGUCUACAUAUAAUAAAAAACACUACAGAGCUCCCACUCACUUUCUUGUAAAUACAGACUUCACCGAAAGUCUGUAUAAAACCAUAUGCUUUGAUCACCUCAUCAAAGCGUACAUUCAACUCCGAGAUGCUUGCUGUCGGUGUCAAAACCGGCGGAUCUCGGGUAGGGGGUCCCGAACUGUGCGUCUAGGCGGAUGGUAACAGGAGACAAGGGACACGAUGUUUUUACCCAGAUUCGGGCCCUCUUGAUGGAGGUAAAACCCUACUCCUGCUUGAUUAAUAUUGAUGAUAUGGGUAGUACAAGAGUAGAUCUACCACGAGAUCAAGGAGGCUAAACCCUAGAAGCUAGCCUAUGGUAUGAUUGUUGUUCGUCCUACGGACUAAAACCCUCCGGUUUAUAUAGACACCGGAGAGGGUUAGGGUUACACAGAGUCGGUUACAAUGGUAGGAGAUCUACAUAUCCGUAUCGCCAAGCUUGUCUUCCACGCCAAGGAAAGUCCCAUCCGGACACGGGACGAAGUCUUCAAUCUUGUAUCUUCAUAGUCUAGGAGUCCGGCCAACGGUGAUAGUUCGGCUAUCCGGACACCCCUUGAUCCAGGACUCCCUCAGUAGCCCCUGAACCAGGCUUCAAUGACGACGAGUCCGGCACGCAUAUUGUCUUCGGCAUUGCAAGGCGGGUUCCUCCUCCGAAUACUUCAUAGAAGAUUUUGAACACAAGGAUAGUGUCCGGCUCUGCAAAAUAAGUUCCACAUACCACCGUAGAGAGAAUAAUCUUUACACAAAUUUAAUCUGCUGACGUAUUCUGUAGCGUGACGUCACACCACGGCCAAACUUUUACUGGAAUCGUUUUUAUUGUCCCACCUCAGCGCGUUUAGCGAGGCGGUUUCCUUGGUACGUCUUGUCAAAGCAGAGAUCGUGUCCCCUUAUUCCGGGAUUCUCAUCAAUACGGGCGUGGGUAACCCAACCGCACCAUUGAUUACGACGCUUGGGAGAUAAGCGAGUUUUAUCAGGCCGGUGGGGACACAUAGUUUCGUCCGUCCAUAUAAGGGGAUAAGGAUCCAUCUUUGUACCUACGCCUUCUUCUUCCUUUGCUUAUCCAUUUUCGUGCACUCGAGCACCAGCGCCCAAGUCCGCACAUCUCGCCUCAACCUUCCCCAGCCAUGUCUGGAGCGGGAGGCAAGUGGAUGGUCUCCUCCGUAACGAAGGAACAAGUCAAAAAGCUGCGGAAGGCCGGAUACUUAUCCGGCGACAUCGCGCAUCGGCUCCCCGACAAGGGGCAGCUCCUUCCUACCCCCAGGCCCCAUGAGAGGGUGGUGUUCCUCACCCACUUCCUCCGUGGACUAGGUUUUCCACUUCACCCAUUUGUCCGGGGGCUCAUGUUCUACUAUGGCCUAGAUUUCCAUGAUCUGGCCCCGAACUUCAUCCUCAAUAUCUCGGCGUUCAUCGUCGUGUGCGAGGCCUUCCUCUGCAUCCAGCCCCACUUCGGCUUAUGGCUGAAGAUUUUUAAUGUCAAGCCGAAGGUAGUGGGCGGCCGCCAAGCGGAGUGCGAAGGUGCCAUGGCGGGCCGGAUGGCCAACGUCCUAUGGCUCGAGGGCUCCUUUGUGGAGACAAUAAAGGGGUGGCAAUCGGGGUGGUUCUACAUCACCGAGCCGCGCGACCCCAAAUGGGCGGCGGCCCCCGAAUUCCGAUCUGGUUUCCCCACAUGGCUCACCUCCUGGAAAGAGAUGGGCCUAACGUGGGGAGAUUCGGAAGAGCUGACCGGACUUCAAGCCUGCGUCCAAAAGUUGGUGAACAAGAAUCUCAAGCUUAACAACGUAGUCCAAGUCAUGCUCAUACGCCGGAUCCUCCCGUGCCAACAACGGGCCUUCAAAUUGUGGGAGUUUGAUCCGGAACAACACCAAACCUUGAGCAAGCUCUUCGACACUACGUACGAAGAUGCCUGGAAGGUGCUAUUUAAGGGCGCCGAGGCCCCCGCAUCCGCUAACGAAGAUCGCGAAUUCAGCUUGCGGCGUCAGGCCAGCGAGGUAAGCUAUUCUACCCUUUACGGGAUUCUUGUUUUUCAUAGUCUGACUCUAUAUGGGAUCUAAACUCCCUUACCUUUGACAGGACUGGCUGAAGAAGUCCGAGCAGGUUAACUGUCCGACUCCUUUGCCAAAAGACCCAGCGGACGCCCGCUUAACGGGGCUGCUGGUUCCGGCACCUCACGUGGUGCCAGAGAAGAAGGCCAAGAAGAAGGCCACGGGAACUCAAAAGAGUUCUCGGUGUCAGGUGUUAUCGGACUCAUCAUCCGAUGACUCCGAGGCGGACUCCUCCCGUGAAGACGAGGAGGAGAAGAAAGAGGCUUCUCCCCCAAUGGGGGGAGAGAAGAAAAGGAAGGCCUCCCCAACUGGGGAGGCCGGAGGGUCCAAGAAGGGAAGGACCCUUCCUCCAGACUACUCCACCAACACCGAUGAUGGAGAAGAGGAGUGGCCCUCGAGGGCCAAGCCCCUGGCGAGAUCGUAAGUGUCCGGAUUCCAGAAUAACUCAUGAUUUUUCAUUUGUCGCAUAGUGUCUUCUAACGCCGAAUACAACCAUGUAGCCCGCCCAAGGAUGAGCUUCCCGCUUCGUCGAGCGGCUCCCUGGGUUCAUCGGAUGUGAAUAGCACUUCACAUCUGACGGCCUCCUCCCCUCGCAACGCAGAAGACACCACGGUGGAGUCCCAAAAGGGGCCCAACCAGGAGGAGGUGGUCCUGGAGGCGCCGCAAGGCGACCUCCCGGACUCCGGGCGCAAAGGGGGCAAAACCCCAGAGGGCUCUAAGUCCGGCCCUGUGCCGGACUCCGUACCGAAACCUUUAGUGGUUCUGGAGUCCUGCAGGCAGCCCCUUCGUAAGAAGGGCAAGACUGCAAUGCCGGUGGCCUCCGUCCAACCGGAGGCACCGGAUAGCUUGCUGGAGGCGCUUAACGGCGCCUCCAUCGAUGAGGCGCACCGCACUAUCAUGAGUGCGGUGAUCCAGAAAGUUUAGUCCGCCAGGAGCGGGCUGACUGAAGCCUGUACCAGCCUUCUAGCAGGCUUUGAGGUAAGUUUUUAAGAUACGUAAUAGUAUUACUGCAUAGACAGUAGCCCCUGAUGCUUAGUUCGGUGUUCGGAAAGAAAAGCCGAGCUGAGGAUCCAAAAAGAUAUACAUAGGAGUCUAACAUAAAUAUGUCAAUAUGGGAAUGUAGGCUGCGUUGCUGACCUCUGCCGCACUGACUGCGGAGGUCAAUGCAUUGAAGCAGAGCCUCGAGCGGUCCAAGAGCGAGCUCGGCCUUGCCAAGAAGCAGCUCGAGGAUAAGGAAGGUAAGUAAUACCUUAUAGAAAGGAUUUGGUUGCAAAAAAUGACAGGAAUAACGUGGGUAUUGCAGGGGCCACGAACAAGGUGGCGACCCUGAAGGAAGCGGUGUCCAAGGCCGAAAACAGUGUGGCCUUGGAGCGCACCGAGCGAGAGAAGCAGGAGGCGCGGGUGGCGGAGGUGCGGCAAGAGCUCCAGGCUCUCGUGGAAAAACAUGAGAGUUUGGAGCGUGACUCGAAGACUUGAGAGUCCGAGCUUGCCUUGGCUCUUGAGAGUGCCAAAGCCGCUAAUGCCGAAGCCUAGAAGGCCCUCCAAGAGAUCGAGGCGAUAAAGAAGAUAGCGACGGGUAAGGCAUUCUUUAUGCAAAGCAAGCAUAUAAAAGUGGAUUAUCUGUUACUUACCCAAAUCCGGAGCUCUCCAGGAGCGUUCACCGAUCUGCCCCGUAGUGUGUCUGAUGCUGCCGCGUUCUACCGAGCCGAGGAGGGGAGCUCGACGGAAAAGAUGUUUUGGUCUCAAUAUGCUGAGGCCGGACAUACGGUGCCCCUGAGCGACCAGCUGAAGCAGCUGGUCGAGCUUCACAAGGUGGCCGAACAGGCCAUGAAGGGCCUCAUAGUUCGGCUGUGGCCUAAGGAAGCCGUGCCUGGGAGCUACUUCGGUCUGGUGCGGCGGCUGGUGGACGCCUGUUCAUGGAUUGAAGUCAUCAAGCACUCCGCCUGCAUUGAAGGUGCCCGUCGGGCCCUUGCCCGUGCUAAAGUGCACUGGGGCAAGAUGGACGCUGAGAAGCUUGUGACGGACGCGCCACCGCCAGGCAAGGAGUAUCGCAAGCCCGAGAUGUACUAUAAGGGCGUCCUGAAGGGUGCCCACAUUAUAGCGGGUGAAUGCUCCAAAGAUGUAAUUUUUUAGUAGACUCGCAUUUGUUAUCCUGUACGCUGAAAACUUUGUUCAUAUGCGCUAAGCAAUGCUUGUUAAUUUAAAAUAUUACCUUCUGUGCGGCCGUUUAUCAAAUUUGAGAGAUGACGAGUCGUUGGCUUCAGCCCCCAUGCCACGAGUGCUGGGGUGUUCGGGAUAAACUUGAGCGCUCUUGUUCCCAUUCUUGGGUCCUUUCGAGGGAGGCGUUCAACACAACGAACGAGGCAACCGGACUAUAAUGCUUGAACACUCUCACUUAGCCAUAGAAUUCUAUAAUUUUAAAUUUCGGCGAAGCCCCUGAUAUUUGGAAGACCGAGUUCGGGGCGCUAUCCACGCCUUGGCCGGACAAUGCCGACUCCUCGCUCUAAGCGGCAUGAGUCUUUAGGGACCCGAAAAACCUCUCGAACAGCGACUGGCUCUCGCCCUAUCAUGACGGUCAGUUUUAGCUUUCUCCACUGAGGUGCUCAACCCAGCUCAACCGGGGCACAAUCGCAAUGGUUCUCCCAGCGCUACCUUAGCUGAUAUAACAGAACGUAAGGUACCAAAACAUGGGAGCCGGGCAAACCCAACUAUUGACCCAAGACAUGAUUCGGAGCCGAUGCAUAUAAUGCUAUAAGUUCGGGGUGCCGCACUUGUGAAAGUGUUCAGACUUAUCACACCAUGUUUUGGGGUACUUAAGCCCCUGGUGUAUUGACCGUACCAAAUUGUACGGGUGCAACAUGUCAUAGAUGAACAUUUAUAAAGAAAAAGGAAAUGCAAUAAUAAGCAGAAGCUAUGUAUUGUUUAUUCAAAAGAUACUGCAAUGAAAGCAGAACGAUACAAAUAGUGCGAUAAGCAAGGGAUGGGACUAUUUAACAUGUCCCCCUCCAGGGGUAGGCUACGGGAUAGUAUGUAAAACAGGUAUACUGCUCGUAAUAGAGACCACCUAGACACUCGACGUAGCUUUUUUGCUUCCUUGGCUAUUGCAUCGUGAGUUCGGUGAUUCUACUGCCGGACAGGGCUUCUGGAAAACGGAGUCCUGGAAAUAAGAAAAAAGUAAAAAAAGAAUGACACAAUUGGGAGCCCCUUGUGUGGUUGAGCCGCACUCUGGGCAUGCCGUGGUCGUGCCCCUCCCCCUAUGCCCAUGGUAUCUCCAGAGCGUAGUUAUGUACGUGUGGCACUGGUCUCGCGAUUUCGCGAGGGCUGGGGUUGGGGCCGCAUUGCUACACGUGCUUGGAACGUGCCAGGCGGUCUUGUUGUAGGUUACUCCGGGCGCGCUUGACUGUGUCUAGACGUUUAGUAGUCGGGCUCGAGAAUUGCCUUAAGAGGCUGCUUUGUACUUCCGCCGCGAGGGCCGCCGUAUGCUCCUCCGUUCGGAGAGAGCGUUCGGUGUUUCCAUUGACCGUGAUUACUCCUCGAGGGCCUGGCAUCUUGAGCUUAAGGUAUGCGUAGUGCGGCACCGCAUUGAACUUUGCAAAUGCGGUUCGUCCAAGCAGUGCAUGAUAGCCGCUGCGGAACGACACUAUGUCGAAGAUUAACUCCUCGCUUCAGAAGUUAUCCGGGGAUCCGAAGACCACUUCAAGUGUAAUUGAGCCUGUAUAGUUGGCCUCUACACCUGGUAUGACGCCUUUAAAGGUCAUUUUUGUGGGUUUAAUCCUUGAGGGGUCUAUGCCCAUUUUGCUCACUAUAUCCUGGUAAAGCAGGUUCAGGCUACUGCCGCCGUCCACCAGGACUCUAGUGAGGUGAAAUUCGUCAAUGAUUGGGUCAAGAACCGAUGCGACGAAUCCGCCAUGGCGGAUGCUAGUGGGGUGGUCCCUUCGAUCAAAAGUGAUCGGGCAGGAGGAUCACGGGUUGAACUUUGGGGCGACUGGCUCCAUCGCAUAUACGUCCCUUAGUGCAUGCUUCCGCUCCCUUUUGGGUAUGUGGGUUGCGUAUAUCAUGUUCACUAUCCGCACUUGUGGGGGAAAGCCCUUCUGUCCUCUAUUGUUCGGCGGGCGGGGCUCCUCCUCAUCAUCGCUAUGCAGCCCCUUGUCGUUGUUUUCGGCACUUAACUUGCCUGCCUGCUUGAAUACCCAACAAUCCCUGCAGGUGUGGUUGGCUGGUUUUUCAGGGGUGCCAUGUAUCUGGCACAAGCGAUCGAGUAUGCGGUCCAAAUUGGACGGGCCCUGAGUAUUUCUUUUGAACGGCUUUUUCCACUGACCGGGUUUAGAGCCUCUGAAUCCGGCAUUGACUGCCGUAUCUUCAGUAUUAUUGCCGUUAAUGUGGCGCUUGUGCUUGUUGCGACGCGACCUGCCAUUGCUGUCCUUGGUAUCCGAACUACCAGGGUUUUUGGUCAGGUUGUUACUGCGAGCUAGCCAGCUGUCCUCUCCCGCGCAGAAGCGGGUCAUGAGUGAUGUGAGGGUUCCCAUGGAUUUCGGCUUUUCCUGUCCUAGGUGCCGGGCAAGCCACUCGUCGCGGAUGUUAUGUUUGAAGGCUGCAAGGGCCUCUGCAUCCGGACAGUCAACGAUUUGAUUUUUCUUGGUUAAGAACCGUGUCCAGAAUUGUCUGGCCGAUUCAUUUGGCUGCUAAAUUAUGUGGCUUAGGUCAUCAGCGUCUGGUGGUCGCACAUAUGUGCCCUGGAUGUUAUCAAGGAAUGCGGCUUCCAGGUCUUCCCAACAACCAAUUGAUUCUGCUGGCAAGCUGUUGAGCCAAUACCGAGCCGGUCCUUUAAGCUUGAGUGGGAGGUAUUUGAUGGCGUGUAGAUCAUCACCGCGGGCCAUGUGGAUGCGAAGGAGAUAGUCCUCGAUCCAAACCGCAUGAUCUGUUGUGCUGUCGUAUGAUUCAAUGUUUACGGGUAUGAAACCCUCGGGGAUUUGAUGAUCCAUUACUUCGUCUGUGAAGCAUAGUGGGUGUGCGGCGCCUCUAUAUUGGGCUAUAUCACGACGUAGCUCAAAUGAGCUUUGUCUACUGUGUUCGGCCCGGCCGGAAUUGCUGUAUCCGGCGUGACGGUUGUCAUCACGUAUCGUGGGGCGCCCACGCGAUCCGUAGAUCGAUCUUAUUUGCCUUGCCUUGUCCUCCAAUAUGUCUCGCAAGUCUGGCGCAUUUCCCCGUGGCUUUGUACUUUUCGAGCGACGCCGGGGUGCGGCUUUAGUGGAGGGCCUAGAGGCCUCUCUAUCAUGGCCACGAGGUGGCCGGUCGGCCGCGUCAUGCGCUGGUGAUGUAGGUUUGGGUGCUUCCUCCUCUAAUUGGGGUAACAGCCUGCGUUUUGGGUAGCUUUUGGAGGGGCGAUCGAGUUUGUACUCUUCGUCUGCAAGGACUUCGGUCCAUAUGUCCGUUAGCAAGUCUUGGUCAGCUCUAAGCUGCUGCUGCUUUUUCUUGAGGCUGCUUGCCAUGGCCAUAAGCCUGCGUUUGAAACGCUCUUGUUCGACGGGAUCCUCGGGCACGACAAAUUCGUCGUCGUCGAGGCUUGCUUCAUCUUCAGAGGGAGGCAUAUAAUUAUCGUCCUCGACCUCUCUGUCUGCCGCUCUAUCAUGAGGGCUGGCUUCUCCCUCCUCCUGUGCUGAAUCCUGCUGGAGGGGGUUGUCUUCGGCACUGUCGAGGGUGUUAUUAUCUCCCGUGCUGGAGUCACCAUUUUUGCUGUGGUAGGAUUUAGAGCGGCGCCGCUGACGCGGGCGCUUGGGCUGUUUCUUGGAGGGGUCAUCCUCCGCUGUUCCAUUGCCAUUCCCGUCUUUUGGGGUGUCCACCAUGUAUAUGUCGUAUGACGAGGUGGCCUUCAAGUGCCCUGUAGGCGCUGGUUCUUGGUUGUCUCCUGCAUCGUCGUCCAUACCGUCGAUGUCUUCGGAGUCAAAGUCGAGCAUGUCGGUUAAAUCAUCGACAAUGGCUACAAAGUGGGUGGUGGGUGGGCGUUGAAUUUCUUUGUCGUCCACAUCCCAACCUUCCUGACCAUAGUCCGGCCAGGGCUCUCCUGAUAAAGAGAGAGACUUUAGUAAAUUCAGGAUGUCGCCAAAGGGUGAGUGCUGAAAGAUGUCCGCGGCAGUGAACUCCAUAACCGGCGCCCAAUCGGAUUUGAUUGGCAGAGGCGCGGGAGGUUCGGAGUCCGGAGAGGAGUCCGACACCUCGGAGUCACGGGCUUUGCAAAGGACAGGGAUGGUGUUCGUCUCAAUCGCUGUAGAGAUAGUAGCCCCUGAGGCGGUGUCCAGCCACUCGUCCUCGCGAAGUCGGCUCCGAGCUAAUGGUCGUAGAGGUGCCAGAGCUCGAUUUUAAAAUAGAGAUUGAAUAACAUCUUGAGCGGCAUACUUUCACUGUCAACGCAACAACUAUGAGAUGGCCGUAUUUUCCAUACUACAUGCAUUAUAGGCAGUUCCCAAACAGAAUGGUAAAGGUUUAUACUCCCCCAACCACCAACAAGCAUCAAUCCAUGGCUUGCUCGAAACAACGAGUGCAUCCAACAUACAACAACCCUGGGGGAGUUUUGUUUAAUUAUUUUGAUUUGUUUUGAUCUUUUUGGAUCAUGGGACUGGGCAUCCCGGUUACCGGCCCUUUCUCGUGAAUGAGGAGCGGAGUCCACUCCUCUUGAGAAUAAACCACCUAGCAUGGAAGAUAUAGGCAACCCUAGUUGAAACAUGAGCUGCUCAAGCAUACAAAACAGAACUUCAUUUGAAGGUUUGGAGUUUGGCACAUACAAAUUUACUUGGAACGGCAGGUAAAUACCGCAUAUAGGUAGGUAUGAUGGACUCAUAUGAAACAACUUUGGGGUUUAAGGAGUUUGGAUGCACAAGCAGUAUUCCCGCUUAGUACAUGUGAAGGCUAGCAAAAGACUGGGAAGCGACCAACUAAGAGAGCGACAACAGUCGUAAGCAUGCAUUAAAAUUAAUUCACACUGAAUACAAGCAUGAGUAGGAUAUAAUCCACCAUGAACAUAAAUAUCAUGAAGGCUAUGUUGAUUUGAUUCAACUACAUGCGUGAACAUGUGCCAAGUCGAGUCACUUAAUACAUUCAAAGGAGGAUACCAUCCCAUCAUACCACAUCAUAAUCAUUCUAAUAGCAUGUUGGCACGCCAGGUAAACCAUUAUAACUCAUAGCUAAUCAAGCAUGACACAAGCAACUAUAAUCUCUUAAUGUCAUUGCAAACAUGUUUACUUCAGAAUAGCUGACUCAGGAACGAUGAACUCAUCAUAUUUACAAAAACAAAAGAGGUCAAGUUCAUACCAGCUUUUCUCAUCCCAAUAAGUCCAUCAUAAAUCAUCAUUAUUGCCUUUCACUUGCAUGACCGAACGAUGUGUAUAAUAAUAAAAUUGCAUGUGCAUUGGACUAAGCUGGAAUCUGCAAGCAUUCAACUCAAGAGAGAAGACAAGUAAUAUGGGCUCUAAAUAUAAAUAAACAAUCAUGCAUAAAAGAGCCACUAAGCAUUUUCAAUAUGGUCUUCUCGACCCCCAAAAGAAAGAAAAUAAAAUAAAACUAUUUACACGGGAAAGCUCCCAACAAGUAAAAGAAGAACGAGAAAUCUUUUUGGGUUUUAAUUUUAAUUUCUACUACAAGCAGGGAAAUUAAACUAACUAAUUUUUGUUUUGUUUUUUCUUAAGGUUUAACAAACACACAAGAAGAAAGCUAGAAAAAGAAAUUUAAACUAACAUGGAUAAUACAAUGAAAGAGUAUGAGCACCGACGACUAGUGUGUGGACAUGAAUGUAAAGUCGGUGAGAAAUACGUACUCCCCCAAGCUUAGGCUUUUGGCCUAAGUUGGUCUAAUACCACUGACCACCGCUAUUCUCCCCGGUGUAGUGGGAGGUGUAAUCAGGAUACCACUGGCUGGUCAUCUCCAGAUCCCACUGGACAGAUGAUGCACGAUAAGGGUCCAACUCAGGUUCCGUUCAGGUUCCGGAGUAAAAGCUUGGGCUAGAUGGUUGUUCACCGCUUCUGGCGUGACAAGACGAUUUUCUACAAGCAAAUCAAAUAACAGAGGUGCAGGCAAAAUAAUAAUCUCAAAGUGUUUCUUAUCAAAUCUAAGUCUAUACAGGAGCAUCUUUUCUUCGUUGUCAACGAUAAACUUGUGUGCUACCAUGCUCUUGUAAUCUAAAAUGUGAGGAGGUAAUUUUGUCUCCUCCUCCUCAAGGUGCCUAAUGGGUAUCUGAAAAUGUUCAGCAAGACGUGCAACAUAGAUACAUCCAAAUAUGGGGCCUUUUGUACGAUUCAGGGCUAGCCGUUUAGCAACAACGACACCCAUACUAAAAGUAUUGUCUCCCAGCAAAGCAUGUUGAAUAAUAAUAAUAUCUGGAACGCUCAAAUUUCCACUAUUCCCAUGACCAAUCAAGCAUCUACUAGCAAAUAUGGCAAAGUAGCGUAAAACAAGAAAGUGUAUGCUAGAGACUUUUGCCUCAGAGCCCUUCUUUGGCUCUUCUACAGCAAUAGUUUUAACGAAGCCAUCCACAUCUUCACGAUGGGGUUCCUCUAAUUCUCCCUCAUAAGGUAUCCUACAUACCACGCAAAAAUGACGUAAAGACAUUUCUUUGAAUUCGUCAUAUAAAUGAAAUGAUACUGCAGGCAGUGACUUCUUAGGAUAAUAAUAAAAGUUUUGCACGAAAGUAUUGGUAAGUAAGAGAUACUGAUCGAUUCGGCCGUUCAUGAAACCGGUGAGGCCUGCAGUCCCGAUUAAAGCAUAAAAGUCUUCAUGAAUUCUCACCUCCUUCAAGAAAUCCUCACAUGGCCAUUCACAUGACCGUACUUCCUCUAAGCGAGGAAGAUUAUACUUGGGUUUUUCCUUCUCUUUGUCUUGUUUUCCUUAGAGCUUUGGCUAGAAGAGCUUUUAAAGAGCCUCCUUAACAUUUUCUGAAAAUUUCUGAAAUUUUAGUAACUUCAAAAUAAAAGUGGACAAAACUAAACAAGAUUGAUAGCAACUACUCCUACAAGUGCCUAGAGCCUAUAUCAUGCAUUGGAAUUGCUUGGGACCUCAAAAAUUUAACAUGCAAGCUCAAGAACAUGGUCACCUAUGCAGCAAAAAUUUGCAAUGAAUAAAGACUAGAACAAAAACUAAUUGGACCAAUGGAGGAGUCACAUACCAAGCAACAAUCUCCCAAAGCAGUUUUGCGAAUGGAGCUUUGAGCUAAGAGAUCGAAAAUCGCAGCAAACGAGCUAGAACUCGGGCUUGAGCUGGAUGGGGAUUUUUUGGGUAGAAGAUGAAGUGUGUGGGUGCUGGCAUUAGUGGAGGGGAGCCACCAGGGGCCCACGAGACUUGGGGGCGCGCCCUACAGGGGGGCGCCCUCCUCUCUCGUGGCCUGGUGCUUGGCCCUCCCGCAGUAUUUUCAGUGCCUAAAAUCCUCAAAUAUUCCAGAAAAAAUCAUACUAAAUUUGCAGGGCAUUUGGAGCACUUUUAUUUUCGAACUAUUUUUUAAUGCACGGAUAAUUCAGGAAACAGACAUAUAAUACUAUUUUUGCUUUAUUUAUUCUAAAUAAGAGAAAGUAAAAAGAGGGUACAGAAGGUUGUGCCUUCUAGUUUCAUCCAUUUCGUGAUCAUUAAAAUGAAUCCACUAACAAGGUUGAUCAAGUCUUGUUAACAAACUCAUUCCAAAUAACACGGAACCGGAGAAAUUUCGAAUAACACUAAGUUACUUCAACGGGGAUAUGGAAAUCCCCAACAAUAAGAAUAUCAUACUUUUUCUUGACAGUAGGAAGAGGAAAUUCAAAACCUCCAAAAAUGAUAGUUGGAACUUUUUCAAUAGAAUUGAUGCUAUGAACUUGAGAUUGUUUCCUCGGAAAGUGUACCGUAUGCUCAUUACCAUUAACAUGAAAAGUGACAUUGCCUUUGUUGCAAUCAAUAACAGCCCCUGUAGUAUUAAGAAAAGGUCUACCAAGGAUAAUAGACAUACUAUCGUCCUUGGGAAUAUCAAGAAUAACAAAGUCCGUUAAGAUAGUGACAUUUGCAACCACAACAGGCACAUCCUCACAAAUACCGACAGGUAUAACAGUUGAUUUAUCAGCCAUUUGCAAAGAUAUUUCAGUAGGUGUCAACUUGUUCAAUUCAAGUCUACGAUAUAAAGAGAGAGGCAUAACACUAACACCGGCUACAAGAUCACAUAAAGCAGUUCUAACAUAAUUUCUUUUAAUAGAGCAUGGUAUAGUUGGUACACCCGGAUCUCCAAGUUUCUUUGGUAUUCCACCCUUAAAAGUGUAAUUAGCAAGCAUGGUGGAAAUUUCAGCUUCUGGUAUCUUUCUUUUAUUUGUGAUGAUAUCCUUCAUAUAUUUAGCAUAAGGAUUUACUUUAAGCAUAUCAGUUAAGCGCAUACGUAAGAAAAUAGGUCUAAUCAUUUCAGCAAAGCGCUCAAAAUCCUCCUCAUCCUUUGACUUGGAUGGUUUAGGAGGAAAGGGCAUGGGUUUCUGAACCCAUGGUGUCAGUGUCAAAACCGGCAGAUCUCGGGUAGGGGGUCCCGAACUGUGCGUCUAGGCGGAUGGUAACAGGAGACAAGGGACACGAUGUUUUUACCCAGGUUCGGGCCCUCUCGGUGGAGGUAAAACCCUAAUCCUGCUUGAUUAAUAUUGAUGAUAUGGGUAGUACAAGAGUAGAUCUACCACGAGAUCAAGGAGGCUAAACCCUAGAAGCUAGCCUAUGGUAUGAUUGUUGUUCGUCCUACGGACUAAAACUCUCCGGUUCAUAUAGACACCGGAGAGGGCUAGGGUUACACAGAGUCGGUUACAAUGGUAGGAGAUCUACAUAUCCGUAUUGCCAAGCUUGCCUUCCACGCCAAGCAAAGUCCCAUCCGGACACGGGACGAAGUCUUCAAUCUUGUAUCUUCAUAGUCUUGGUGAUGCGGAGCAUCCCACGUUCAUCCCCAUGUACACUCCGACUACUCUCCAAGCCCCAAGGAUACAUAAGAUGAGACCGCGACUAUGCGCCAUUGGACACAAGGUGAAUUCACUCCUCUUCGAACCGUCACUUUCCGCAUGUGAGGCACGGCUACUACCUCAUGCAUGGACCUUGCCUAUACUCAGGUACAACCGAGAUGAUCAUGGAGAGUCCAAGGAUCAAGGCCAAGCAUGGAAGAGGAGAAGGAAGAAGAAGACGGAGCGGCUGCUGAAGCCAGGCCGGACAUCCGGACCGCAGUCCGAAUCAUCCGGGCCCAGCCGGAUCAUCCGGGCCCAGCCGGAUCAUCCGGACCCUCCCCCGGAUCGUCCGGGUAGCUGCGCCGUAGACAACAGAAGCUCCUCGACGAAGCCGGAUCAUCCGGACGGUCGCCCGGAUCAUCCGGACCCCCGACACCCGGAUCAUCCGGGCCACCAUCCGGACCCCGCCUGUGUGCGCGACUUGGGCUGAGCCCAUGUACCCCUUUGCCCCCUAGUCUAUAAAUAGGACCCCCUCUCCUCACUUUGGGACUUAGCGUUGGUUUAGCUCAUGUUAGAGAUAGAGCUACGCUCAUCUAUCGGAUCUCCUCCUCGUGAGAGACUGCGGCCUCCGUCUAGGAGAAGAUCCCUCUCGGAUACAAGACCCCUUUACGGGAAGAUACCCUCGUGGAUUCAAGGCCUCCUCUUGGAGAUGAACGGUUCCGUUGUAUCCUUACCCUAGUUGACUAUGUAUCUUGUGGAUCUCAUGUGUGUAUGUUGAUCUAGCACUUGUGUGAUCGAUUCCUUGUUGGUUGAGUGAUUCCCUCUCGUUUUCCCCGUGUUUCCCCUUGUGCUUCCGCGUGUUCUUCGUGUUUCCUCCGUAGGAUCCCCUCCAAACGUGAAAGAUCGACGAAUUAGGGUUCCACCCUACAUCAUAUGGUAUCAUGAGCCACGUUGAUCACGUUUUUGGAGCCCCUACCCCGUGUUUUCUAGCUUGAUUUUGUUGUUUUCGUCCUAAAUCCGAAAAUCCCCACCAAAAAUAGCCCCAAUUUUUUUUGUGAUUUGUUGGUUUGAUGAUGUUUUGUUGAUUUUGAUCCAUGGAUUUGCUUGGUUUCAAGUGGAUCUAGCUUUCCCCCAAGUUUCCCCACCUUCCAUCCACGAAAUCCCUCAAAUUUUGCCCCGAAAAUCAUCCAUUUCCGCCCAAAAAUUCAUCUCCACGAGCAAAUCCCGAGCAGUUUGACCUGCCCGGAUCAUCCGGACCUUCUCCCGGAUCAUCCGGACAUCCCCCGGAUCAGCUGGACGCCCCCCCGGACGUCCGGAUACCCCACGCACCCAGAAAACAGAACCGGCGCUGACGAACCCGGAUCAUCCGGAAGUACUCCCGGAUCAUCCGGACCUAGCCCGGAUCAUCCGGACCUCCUCCCGGAUGUCCGGUUAACCCUGACACUGCUUCGGCUGAAAUUUUGUUUUGGUCAUAACUAAUUCAUCCGAACUCCGAUUUUGACGUUCUUUAGCUCGUUCUGAAGCUCUUGACACCCCCCAUCCCACAAAAAUACCACCAACAUCAUUUGACUCCAUCAUAUUUUCUGAAAUUUGGCAAGUUUGCCUAGGCCCUCCACCAUAUCACCCGCAUAGCCACCACCGACUUCCGCAACCUAACCCAUUUUUGUUCCCCAUUGCAUAUGUGGUUGUUUGAGUUGUGACUAGAGUCUCCUAAGGUGUUUCGGCUACUUAGGGACAAUUGCUUCUUCAUCAACCACCACCACCACUUCCGCAUAGGCGCGCCCACCAUACACUUCCACCACCCCCAACUUAACCCAAUAGUUGUUUGAGCUUGUUUGAGUUGUGGCUUGUGUCUCCUAAGGUGUUUCGGCUACUUAGGGACGGCAACUUCAACUCCGACACGUGUAUAGCCCAUCAUUCAUCCGCAUUGCCUAGUGCAACACCACCACCGCUUUCCGCUACCACCAUUUGACAUUUGUCAUUUGAGAUUUUGAGUUUGCGGUUUUUCCGUUUCCUAAGGUGUUUCGGCUACUUAGGGACGAGUCUCCAUCUUCUUGGUAUCUACACCAAGAACACCACCACUCAUCAUCGCAAAGGACGGUAACCUCGACGACACCAUUGUAUAUUUCCCUUGCAAUUGCAUUGUUAACCCCUAGCCCAUUUUGCAUCACUUACCUAUCGAGACUAGCCAUUUGAGUAUUGCUGGCAACGUUACUUGUGCACAUUAGUGGUCCAUACCUUCCAUUGCAUACAUACCAUAUCAUAUUGGUAUCAUAUCAUACAUAGUGUCACAAUAUCGUUCCCGCAUAUACACAAUUGCUAUCUUGGUUUGUGCAUUGUGCAAAAGUGGCCUUAGAAAAAAAAGAGAAAAAAAGCUUUUAAGCAAAAAGAGAGCAAAGAGCUCGUGAGCAAGUGCCAUAGCAUCAUAUCCCAUUGCACAUAAGAUUGUCAAAUCUACAUCAUAUGAUAUCAUGCUUGAGAGAAACACCGGGAACCAUACAUACAUAGCAUACUUGGGAUAGAAGUUUAUCCAUUUUGCAUCUUAUAGGUUGUGCACAAGUGUCGUAUCCGCCUAUUGAGCAAUCGUGCUAGCGUCUCUCUUGAGUUGUGCAACACGAGCGUUUUGGUGGAUUCCACAUUUUGAGCUCAUUCCUUGGUUGCACGACCCCAUUUAUCUAUCCGUGUGUGUGUUUCCGUGUGCCAUUCUUUGCUAUUGGUCCAUUUGUUUCACUUGCGAAUUUGUGAAUCUUUUUCAACAUUAUUGACUCUUGCUAACAUUUUGCAUUAAAUUUUUGUGCCACUAUCCUCACCGAGCUCCACUAUAAGCUUUACUUGUGUAGGUGUGAGAACCGACAAGGAUUGGUACCAAUAGUGCUAUUUCAUUGUCCACAUUUGAGUGAACUUGAUUCAUCUUCAACUUUGGUCAAAGGUACAUUGGUAUACGUUCUUCUCUUUCUCCCACUCAUAUUUGCUCGAGUCUUGUGAUGGAUAGGCAAGGCAUUCCCUCUCCGGUCUACGACAACAACGACGGCGUGAACAACUACAUCUCCAAAGCGUCUAUCUUCGAUC
RNAcentral lists this long non-coding RNA (38392 nucleotides) under Triticum aestivum (bread wheat). RNAcentral's name for it is "long non-coding RNA (TAES_LNC016497)". The record is from RNAcentral. Lineage: Eukaryota; Viridiplantae; Streptophyta; Magnoliopsida; Poales; Poaceae.